GGAAGAGGAGAAAGGAGCAAGUGACUGUGGUGCUCAACCGCCUGCCAGGUUAAACUACAACAUCAUGGAACCCAAAAAUCAACUUAAGCUAACCUGUCUGUGAAAGCAGGGAGCCACAGGUAUAAAGCAGAUCAUCCUACCAGUCCCACCUCCACUUCAAAACAUGAUUUCAUCUGCCCUUAAGAUCACCAAGAUUCCAGACACUCAAACUGAGAAACAAAGUGCAGUAACUAAAUCCUAAUGACUCACAGAGUUAUUACAGAGGACUGAAUCUAAAUACUGUCAACUCCUCAAAUGUAUGAAAAGUUACCCACAAAACUAUAUGACUGACGAACUAAGUAAAAACCAAGAGCAGUGAGGAAGUUCUGAUACGUGACAUCUUAUUUCUUCUGGCUCACUGAAGGAAAUUCUGGACAAACAACCUGUAUACAAGCAUCCUGUUGCUCAUGGGUAUAUAGAUAGAAAAGUGUGUUA
RNAcentral lists this long non-coding RNA (474 nucleotides) under Numida meleagris (helmeted guineafowl). RNAcentral describes it as "lncRNA (ENSNMEG00000001040.1)". The record is from RNAcentral. Lineage: Eukaryota; Metazoa; Chordata; Aves; Galliformes; Numididae.